RNAcentral lists this ribosomal RNA (339 nucleotides) under uncultured Pseudomonadota bacterium. Its description in RNAcentral is "bacterial SSU rRNA". It matches the Rfam family "Bacterial small subunit ribosomal RNA", at positions 29 to 351 of the family's 1533-position model. Lineage: Bacteria; Pseudomonadati; Pseudomonadota. The record is from RNAcentral.
AAUGAACGCUGGCGGCGUGCCUAACACAUGCAAGUCGAACGAGAAAGCCUGGCUUGCCAGGCAAGUAAAGUGGCGCACGGGUGAGUAACGCGUGGGUAAUCUACCUUCGUUUGGGGGAUAACCUACCGAAAGGUGGGCUAAUACCGCAUAACGUGAUCAAAUUGCGAUUUGAUCACCAAAGAUGGCCUCUCCAUGGAAGCUAUCGAGUGAAGAUGAGCCCGCGUCCCAUUAGCUAGUUGGUAAGGUAAGAGCUUACCAAGGCUACGAUGGGUAGCUGGUCUGAGAGGAUGGCCAGCCACACUGGAACUGGAACACGGUCCAGACUCCUACGGGUGGCAG